CACCGACCCUGCAGCUGGGAGAGGAGCCCCAGCCCCAGAAGUCCCAGGUGUUCCAAUUCUGUGAUCAGCACAGAACACACACACCUCACCAUGGAGUUUGUGCUGGGCUGGGUUUUCCUGGUUGCUCUUUUAAAAGGUGUCCAGUGUGACGUGCAGCUGGUGGAGACUGGGGGAGACCUGGUGAAGCCUGGGGGGUCCCUGAGACUCACCUGUGUAGCCUCUGGAUUCACCUUCAGUAGCUAUGAAAUGAACUGGGUCCGCCAGGCUCCAGGGAAGGGGCUGCAGUGGGUUGCAUAUAUUAGUAGUAGUGGAGGUAGCACAUACUACGCAGACUCCGUGAAGGGCCGAUUCACCAUCUCCAGAGACAACUCCAAGAACACGCUGUAUCUGCAGAUGAACAACCUCAAGACCGAGGACACGGCCACAUAUUACUGUGCAAGAGACACAGUGAGGGGUCGUCACUGGGAGCCCAGACACAAACUUCCCUGCAGGAGGGUUGGGAUCCUCCAUGGUGCACUGGACGAGGCACUGGUGGGAGCAAAGAGAGUGGACGCCUCCAAGAAGAAUGCGGCCAGUCAGGCAAAGUCCUGA
Non-coding RNA from Herpailurus yagouaroundi (jaguarundi), 591 nucleotides. The record is from the annotation of a RefSeq genome assembly. Lineage: Eukaryota; Metazoa; Chordata; Mammalia; Carnivora; Felidae.